UUUUGUUGAUCUAUAGUUGUAAAAGUUGAAAACAAUUCAUGUAUUUUGAAGAAUGAUUAUGAUGUAAAAAAGGAUUUUAUGAAUGAAAGCAAAUGGAUGUAAUAGUUUUAGUUUACUAGUAUUUGGUUUGAAUGUAAUCAAAUAUUAUGUAUGGUUGUAUGUUUUAGCUUAGAGCUUUCGCUUCCGUUGUUGCUUGCCCUCGUGCAAGCCUUGUAUAAUUGCAAAUCUCUUUGUUUGAUUGCUUAAUUAUACUUGUUGUUGGGGCCUUGCGCGGGCAGGGGAGGCCCUGUCCGUUUGGCGUCUGUUGACGUUGCCCGAACCCGACCAAAUUGGCGGGAAGCGGGGCGUGACAUGCUACUUCUCGGUCAGCCCAUUUGUACCGGUACACCCCUGGUGUUAAACCGGUAACACAUGCUCCAGAAUUUCAUUUUCACGCCGUUUCGACUCUAUUUCACAUCGAACAACGCUAAAACCCUUCCAACUCUUUUAAACUCAUCUUUAACCCUUCUAACACUGUUGAAAUGCCAAAAGGAACUUGUUCAACCAUUUCUCUCGACAACUUUAACCAAUUUGGGUAAAGUUCGAUAAUCGCUCUCGAGGUUUCAAUAUGUUACAUCGGCGGCCGAACCCACUGGGAACUUUGUUGUAGUUCUCACCCCACUAUUUUCACAGAGCUGGGACCGAUUGAGCCGGCCGACGAUCGCGGUAAAGGUAUCGCGCCAUAGACAGUGACCACCCGAGUUGGUUUCAUAUUUUGGUUUAGUUGCAUACCCUUUAUAUCAUCUUUUGUAUUUUGAUGAUUAUAGAUGUAUUAAAGAUGUUUUAAAUGAUGUUAAAUGAAAAGGGUUAUUUUGGAGAUCAUAUGAUGUAUUGAGAGAAGAAAUGAUGAAAAGAAUAUAAAUGUAACUUGUGGUUGAAUGCAUGUAAGUGAUUAAAAGAUAAUCAUUGUACUUGUAUGGAUGUUUAA
This 967-nucleotide long non-coding RNA is filed under the name Ananas comosus (pineapple). RNAcentral describes it as "long non-coding RNA (ACOM_LNC002000)". Lineage: Eukaryota; Viridiplantae; Streptophyta; Magnoliopsida; Poales; Bromeliaceae. The record is from RNAcentral.